RNAcentral lists this ribosomal RNA (253 nucleotides) under uncultured bacterium. Its description in RNAcentral is "partial 16S ribosomal RNA". It matches the Rfam family "Bacterial small subunit ribosomal RNA", at positions 524 to 776 of the family's 1533-position model. The record is from RNAcentral.
UACGUAGGGUGCGAGCGUUAAUCGGAAUUACUGGGCGUAAAGCGUGCGCAGGCGGUUCGUUGUGUCGGCGGUGAAAGCCCCGGGCUCAACCUAGGAAUGGCCGGUGAAACUGGCGAACUGGAGUGUGGCAGAGGGGGGUGGAAUUCCGCGUGUAGCAGUGAAAUGCGUAGAGAUGCGGAGGAACACCGAUGGCGAAGGCAGCCCCCUGGGCUGACACUGACGCUCAGGCACGAAAGCGUGGGGAGCAAACAGG